Molecule: ribosomal RNA, 491 nt
Filed under: beta proteobacterium I-11
Lineage: Bacteria; Pseudomonadati; Pseudomonadota; Betaproteobacteria
Description: bacterial SSU rRNA
Rfam family: Bacterial small subunit ribosomal RNA
Source: RNAcentral
CAACCAUCACGCGUGUAUGAUGAAGGCCUUCGGGUUGUAAAGUACUUUUGGCAGAGAAGAAAAGGUAUCUCCUAAUACGAGAUACUGCUGACGGUAUCUGCAGAAUAAGCACCGGCUAACUACGUGCCAGCAGCCGCGGUAAUACGUAGGGUGCAAGCGUUAAUCGGAAUUACUGGGCGUAAAGCGUGUGUAGGCGGUUCGGAAAGAAAGAUGUGAAAUCCCAGGGCUCAACCUUGGAACUGCAUUUUUAACUGCCGAGCUAGAGUAUGUCAGAGGGGGGUAGAAUUCCACGUGUAGCAGUGAAAUGCGUAGAUAUGUGGAGGAAUACCGAUGGCGAAGGCAGCCCCCUGGGAUAAUACUGACGCUCAGACACGAAAGCGUGGGGAGCAAACAGGAUUAGAUACCCUGGUAGUCCACGCCCUAAACGAUGUCAACUAGCUGUUGGGGCCGUUAGGCCUUAGUAGCGCAGCUAACGCGUGAAGUUGACCGCC